This 434-nucleotide ribosomal RNA is filed under the name uncultured Oscillospiraceae bacterium. RNAcentral's name for it is "bacterial SSU rRNA". It matches the Rfam family "Bacterial small subunit ribosomal RNA", at positions 341 to 792 of the family's 1533-position model. Lineage: Bacteria; Bacillati; Bacillota; Clostridia; Eubacteriales; Oscillospiraceae. The record is from RNAcentral.
ACGGAAGGCAGCAGUGGGGAAUAUUGGGCAAUGGGCGCAAGCCUGACCCAGCAAUGCCGCGUGAAGGAAGAAGGCUUUCGGGUUGUAAACUUCUUUUAAGUGGGAGGACAAUGACGGUACCACUUGAACAAGCUCCGGCUAACUACGUGCCAGCAGCCGCGGUAAUACGUAGGGAGCAAGCGUUAUCCGGAUUUACUGGGUGUAAAGGGCGUGUAGGCGGGACACCAAGUCAGAUGUGAAAGCACGAGGCUCAACUUCGUGUCUGCAUUUGAAACUGACGUUCUUGAGUGUUGGAGAGGCUAACGGAACUCCUAGUGUAGCGGUGAAAUGCGUAGAUAUUAGGAAGAACACCAGUGGCGAAGGCGGUUAGCUGGACAAUAACUGACGCUGAGGCGCGAAAGCGUGGGUAGCAAACAGGAUUAGAUACCCUGGUA